UGUUGAAUGCCGUGCUGUAGUCGAUGAACAGCAUUCUCACAUAGGUAUUCCUCUUGUCCAGAUGGGUUAGGGCACUGCUUCCACUGUAUUAUACGCAAUGUAACACUAUCAUUCUCCCUUGAUUAGGCCGGCCAAAUGAUCCUUUAUUUUACUCUAUCAGUGUUAGUCAAUAUGGGUUUGUUUCACGACUAGUCAAUCAAUACAAGUAAUAAAUAGUAAGUGAUCCGAUCCAUUCAUUCAUAGACAUCCUGCCCCUGGGCAAAUAUUGAAUCUUGGCUCACCAUCAUGCCUACCUACGUUCCAACUAUUCAGCUAUUUUGUUCAGAUCAUUUAAAACCCAACAGGUUUUUAAUCUAAAUGUUGUCCAAAUCUAUUUGCAGUACUCAUAUGUUUGACAUUUUUUCACAGCUUGUGUUACAGGAAACUUUGAAAAAGCAGAGCUUUUUCUUCACCAAGACAAUGUUUAACAAUACAGUUCAGCUGAAAUGGUUGACGGAACACUGUGAACCUCCGGUAAAACUCAACAUCUCCUGGUGCCUAAGGAGCUCCCGCUGCUUCGAAGAGGUAUUCGGUCUCCACCCUCUGAAGGCAGGGAGCUACUUCAGAACGACAACUGUGAAGCAGGAAGGAUGCAGUGGGUUCUAUGUGUUUUAUCAGUACCCUGCCAUUGAGUGCAAACAGCACAUGACACACAGUGAGCCUGUCACUGUCAAGCACAAAGAGAUGAGGAAAAGGAGCGCUGAGAAUCCAAAGGAGACGGUUGCUGUCAAAGCAGAGGCAGCUGUGGCCACAGGCAAAGCCCCAGCCCCCUCUGCAAAGAAACAAGUGGCCAAGGCUCAGUGCAUUGAUACACAGGGUGGUUGGGGUGGGACUGCUCAUUUCAUUUUUACCUUAUAUUCUCCGUUGUCGAGGGAAUCCUGAGGGUCAAUUCGGGUAAGUCUGGUCUCUGUCCUCUCCUUUCUGAUCAAUAUACUACCUCGCUAUUCCCCCCAAAUAUAUUGUCCACCUAACUAGACUAUUAAAACAUGUUGAUGCGUUUUUGAUACGGAACUAAACUAAACAAUGCCAUGAUGCUCUUUGUUGAAUAUCUUCAUCUUUGGCCAAAGGAUGCCAGGAAUCUUGUGUGUGUAGUAGUACCGUCAUUCCACUGUCAGUGUUUGCCUGUCUUUCUCACAGGGUCAGGGGGGCAGUAGCAGACUACUGUGUGACAUUAUUCUGGCGUUCACUGACUCGUGCGUUGUGUGGUGGAUAUCCUUUUGGAGCGGUCAGACAUUAGAGGCCAUCGGUCUGCCUGUCUGUCAGUCAGCGUGUUAAUCUAGUUGUCACUGUAUGCAGUUAGUCUGUCAGUAUUAAGACUUCUUUUAUUUGUCUCCCUCCUGGGCAUGUUUGUCUUGAGCUGUGUUUCCAAAGCUUACUCAGAUCUCCUCAUCCCUUUUACCAGUGUCUCUCAUAACUUCUCCAACAAGUUUGAGUCCAACCCUCUUUGAGUGGCAGUUUGGUUCUACACGGGUCCUCUUGGUGUGUAUCUGUCUAUCUGCAUGGCUGCCUGAAGAGUAUGUGAUAAUGUCCCCUCGCUCCCUCUGUCGAUCCCUCCCUUUCACCUGCCCCUCUGUGCUUGUAUCCGUUCCCCUCUCUGUCCCUUUCAGGCUGAAGCUGAUCUGGUGCCGCUUGCUGCCAUUCCGUUGGCUGUGCUCGACUCUACCCUCUGCUGGUGGAUAUCGUGUACUGUACUUCCCUUCACCUUUCACUUUCCCUCCCUCUCACCCCCCCACCCCUUCCCCCCUCCCCUCCGACUUCAUCUUCCAACGCUCUCACUUCCUGAAAUCCCUGUGUGCGACAGUACCUUGGUGGUGGUUGGUGUUGGCAGUUCUCCCUCUAUUUCCGCUUGCCUUUGUCUCAGAGAAGGGAAUAACCCAGAAGGGAAUAUUUCCAGAAAAUAUUCUCCGUAGACAUCAGCCAUAGUCACAUGGAUUAAUGACAUGUUUAAUUACAGGGCCACUUAUAGCAAGGCUAUCAAUAACUUUAUUUAGAAGAGCUCGUAGGAACUGCUGACUUUUGACAAAUGCAUUAUUUUAUUCUCACGGAUGGCCACAUUCUUUUUCUCCUGCAGUUUGACAGGACAGUAUUUUAGUGGAUUCAGUUAGUUAACCAAUUAGCCAGAAAACCAGUUAGUAUAGCGAUGACUAAAACCAUACCAGGUUUUCCAGCCGUGCUUAACCUGGCCAUGGGGGGCAGAAGGGAGCUCAACUCCUCCUGAGUGAUGAGAAAAUGGCUGAAAACCUACAGACACUUACACCCUGAUUAGCUUGGGUUUACGUUCAGGUAUAUCAGCUCAGUUGACAAGGUGGGCAAACUCUUCGGUGUUGGUUAUGUUGAAAGUCAAUGGAAGAAGACUGGUAUUAUAGGGUUAACUGUUUUUGUUGAGAAUUGUAUUUCAAAGGUUGGCUGUUUGUUAUCUGGGUGUGUCCUGGGAUUAUGUUGGGAGUCCUUGACAGCCAAUCACAUCUUUAUCAGCCUGGCCCAGACCAUGAAGCUCCUUCGCCUCCAAAGAAACGUGGUCAAGCUCUCCCUGUAUCGCCACUUUACCAACACCCUCAUAUUCACCGUUAUUGGUGAGGAGCUGUCUGCGGCUGUGCUACUGCAACCACUUAACAGAGACAUUUCAUACAUAGUGUACUAUACACCUUGGUGUGCCCAUGAUUACAAGCAUUCACUAAUCUAAUAUAUUUGGCCUGUCACUGUUCUACUCUGCAGCCUCAGCAAUUUUCAUUAUCUGGAUGAUGAAGACCUUCAAGGUUUCAAAGUGCCAGUCGGUGAAUAGUGUUUGUUUACUACGUUACGUAACUUUUUAAGCCACGGGUGUCCAAACACGUGCGUGUGGUUUGAGUAAAAAUAAUAAUAAUCGAACUCAAUAUACUUUAAAAUGUCUAAAACCAAAUCGAAACUGUAGAAAUGAUAAUGAACCCACAUUCAUAGUUUCUUGACUGUUUCCAGCGUGCUAACAAAUGAAAAGCUAGACAGUCAGAGAGCAUCGGAAAUAACAUUUUCUUGACAAUUUUGACGUCACAGUUGACCUCUAGUGAACUGGUAUUUAGCAUUAUAUAUAUUAUCUUUCACAUUCUCUUCCAUCUCUCUUAUUCACUCUCUUUGUAUCUCUCCAGGACUGGAGGGAACUGUGGAUAGACUGCUUCCUGGCGGUUCCUCUUCUCCACCAUCCUUCUGGUCAUCAUGUUUCUGUGGAGGCCGUCUGCCAACAACCAGAGGAUGAGGAUCUGAAAUGGGUGGAAGAGAAUAUCCCAUCUUCAAUGG
Oncorhynchus tshawytscha (Chinook salmon) is the source of this 3309-nucleotide RNA transcript. It is a transcript of the gene named transmembrane protein 87A, with no coding region annotated. The transcript has 7 exons. NCBI's taxonomy places the organism in Eukaryota, Metazoa, Chordata, Actinopteri, Salmoniformes, Salmonidae. The record is from RefSeq and is a predicted model, not a curated record.